Non-coding RNA from Paramuricea clavata, 736 nucleotides. The record is from the annotation of a GenBank genome assembly. Lineage: Eukaryota; Metazoa; Cnidaria; Anthozoa; Malacalcyonacea; Plexauridae.
CAAAAAUUUGUUCAAGGUGAGGCAAUUGCGUACAGCAGCAAUGAAAAUGAUUUAAGUGGGUUAACUCAGAACGUCUUUUGCGAACAAAGUUCCCUGCCUGAAUCGAAUGUCUUUAUAGUGACAUUUUCGACAGCGAAUGGUCGAAUUUGGAAAACGAACAUACAUGAGUACCUGCACAGUAUAGAAGUCUAUGCCAGCAUGGGAUAAAUCUAUCAAACGGCUCAAGGUACGUAAUCAACGAUUGCCAUGUACAAAAUCAGAGACAAGUUGUAAAUUUUCAUCUUAUGGCGCAGACACGGGACUCGCAAUUGAUUGAAACAUCCAGAUUCUAGAUUUUGUGAGUCGAAUAACAAGAUAACUAUUUAUAAUUUAUUUACAUAUUCGACAUAUUAAAACUUCGAUCAUUUAUGCAAAAUCUGCUAAAUCUGCCUCAGUUAUAGUAAUAAAACUGUACUAUAUAGGGUAACCGUUAAAAUAAAUACACUUCAAAGUAGAAUGGGGAUUAUUUCUUGGAUAAUGCUGUAAAUAAACUGAAUAUGUACAUGUGCGCCUGAACUCGUGACGAGCAGUGGAAGAACUUCAACCCCUAAACCAUUUCAGUUUAUUAGAAUAGUCAGAUUCAACAUUCAAUACCAUUUAUAUAUGGCACAUCAAAGUUCUUAAGAUUGCUUGCGAGGGCACAUGCAUGCAUGCUCGAAUAUUUGUAAUAUUCUCAAAAUACAGCUGCAUAAGUGCU